RNAcentral lists this ribosomal RNA (325 nucleotides) under uncultured bacterium. RNAcentral's name for it is "bacterial SSU rRNA". It matches the Rfam family "Bacterial small subunit ribosomal RNA", at positions 468 to 785 of the family's 1533-position model. The record is from RNAcentral.
AAUGACGGUACCUGACUAAGAAGCCCCGGCUAACUACGUGCCAGCAGCCGCGGUAAUACGUAGGGGGCAAGCGUUAUCCGGAUUUAUUGGGCGUAAAGGGAACGCAGGCGGUCUUUUAAGUCUGAUGUGAAAGCCUUCGGCUUAACCGGAGUAGUGCAUUAGGAAACGUGGGAGACUUGAGUGCAGAAGAGGAGAGUGGAACUCCAUGUGUAGCGGUAGAAAUGCGUAGAUAUAUGGAAGAACACCAGUGGACGAAAGCGGCUCUCGUGGUCUAGUAACUGACGCUGUAGGUUACGAAGCGUGGGUAGCAAACAGGAUUAGAUAC